RNAcentral lists this non-coding RNA (165 nucleotides) under fish gut metagenome. The record is from RNAcentral.
CAUUGUGAGCUGGUAUCUGAAAGAAUUAGGCCGCAAAGCUCUGGUUCGAGGAACACAAAUAAUGUUAUGCAAAAAAAUGAUGGGCGAAUGUGACAAACAACAUAAAAUCAAAACACUACGAAUUAGUAUGGUUGUAUAUAUGACGAAUAGACGGAGUGAAAGAGA